Molecule: ribosomal RNA, 271 nt
Filed under: uncultured bacterium
Lineage: Bacteria
Description: partial 16S ribosomal RNA
Rfam family: Bacterial small subunit ribosomal RNA
Source: RNAcentral
CUGUUCCUACGGGACGCAGCAGGGGGGAAUAUUGCACAAUGGGGGGAACCCUGAUGCAGCGACGCCGCGUGGGUGAGGAAGUACUUCGGUAUGUAAAGCCCUAUCAGCAGGGAAGAAAAUGACGGUACCUGACUAAGAAGCCCCGGCUAACUACGUGCCAGCAGCCGCGGUAAUACGUAGGGGGCAAGCGUUAUCCGGAUUUACUGGGUGUAAAGGGUGCGUAGGUGGCAGGGCAAGUCAGAUGUGAAAGCCCGGGGCUCAACCCCGGUAC